UCGUAACAAGGUUUCCGUAGGUGAACCUGCGGAAGGAUCAUUAAAUAAUCAAUAAUUUUGGCUUGUCCAUUAUUAUCUAUUUACUGUGAACUGUAUUAUUACUUGACGCUUGAGGGAUGCUCCACUGCUAUAAGGAUAGGCGGUGGGGAUGUUAACCGAGUCAUAGUCAAGCUUAGGCUUGGUAUCCUAUUAUUAUUUACCAAAAGAAUUCAGAAUUAAUAUUGUAACAUAGACCUAAAAAAUCUAUAAAACAACUUUUAACAACGGAUCUCUUGGUUCUCGCAUCGAUGAAGAACGUAGCAAAGUGCGAUAACUAGUGUGAAUUGCAUAUUCAGUGAAUCAUCGAGUCUUUGAACGCAACUUGCGCUCAUUGGUAUUCCAAUGAGCACGCCUGUUUCAGUAUCAAAACAAACCCUCUAUCCAGCAUUUUGUUGAAUAGGAAUACUGAGAGUCUCCUGAUCUAUUCUGAUCUCGAACCUCUUGAAAUGUACAAAGGCCUGAUCUUGUUUAAAUGCCUGAACUUUUUUUUAAUAUAAAGAGAAGCUCUUGCGGUAAACUGUGCUGGGGCCUCCCAAAUAAUACUCUUUUUAAAUUUGAUCUGAAAUCAGGCGGGAUUACCCGCUGAACCUAAGCAUAUCA
This 639-nucleotide unclassified non-coding RNA is filed under the name Mucor circinelloides. RNAcentral describes it as "sequence contains 18S rRNA gene, ITS1, 5.8S rRNA gene, ITS2, 28S rRNA gene". The stretch from base 253 to 405 matches the Rfam family "5.8S ribosomal RNA". Lineage: Eukaryota; Fungi; Mucoromycota; Mucoromycetes; Mucorales; Mucoraceae. The record is from RNAcentral.